This 497-nucleotide ribosomal RNA is filed under the name uncultured bacterium. RNAcentral's name for it is "partial 16S ribosomal RNA". It matches the Rfam family "Bacterial small subunit ribosomal RNA", at positions 28 to 507 of the family's 1533-position model. The record is from RNAcentral.
GAUGAACGCUGGCGGCGUGCCUAAUACAUGCAAGUCGAGCGAACAGACGAGGAUCUUGCUCCUCUGACGUUAGCAACGGACGGGUGAGUCACACGUAGAUAACCUACCUAUAAGACUGGGAUAACUUCGAGAAACCGGAGCUAAUACCGGAUAAUAUAUUGAACCGCAUGGUUCAAUAGUGAAAGACGGUUUUGCUGUCACUUAUAGAUCGAUCCGCUCCGCAUUAGCUAGUUGGUAAGGUAACGGCUUACCAAGGCAACGAUGCGUAGCCGACCUGAGAGGGUGAUCGGCCACACUGGAACUGAGACACGGUCCAGACUCCUACGGGAGGCAGCAGUAGGGAAUCUUCCGCAAUGGGCGAAAGCCUGACGGAGCAACGCCGCGUGAGUGAUGAAGGUCUUCGGAUCGUAAAACUCUGUUAUUAGGGAAGAACAAAUGUGUAAGUAACUAUGCACGUCUUGACGGUACCUAAUCAGAAAGCCACGGCUAACUACGUG